GACGAACGCUGGCGGCGUGCUUAACACAUGCAAGUCGAACGGAAAGGCCCUGCUUUUGUGGGGUGCUCGAGUGGCGAACGGGUGAGUAACACGGGAGUAACCUGCCCUUGACUUUGGGAUAACUUCAGGAAACUGGGGCUAAUACCUGAUAGGAGCUCCUGCUGCAUGGUGGGGGUUGGAAAGUAUCGGCGGUGGGGGAUGGACUCGCGGCUUAUCAGCUUGUUGGUGGGGGAGUGGCUUACCAAGGCUUUGACGGGUAGCCGGCCUGAGAGGGUGAACGGCCACCUUGGGACUGAGAGACGGACCAGACUCCUACGGGAGGCAGCAGUGGGGAAUAUUGCACAAUGGGCGGAAGCGUGAUGCAGCAACGCCGGGUGCGGGAUGAAGGCCUUCGUGUUGUAAACCGCUGUCGCCUGUGACGAAGCGUGAGUGACGGUAAUGGGUAAAGAAGCACCGGCUAACUACGUG
This 468-nucleotide ribosomal RNA is filed under the name uncultured bacterium. Its description in RNAcentral is "partial 16S ribosomal RNA". It matches the Rfam family "Bacterial small subunit ribosomal RNA", at positions 28 to 507 of the family's 1533-position model. The record is from RNAcentral.